GUGACAAUGUAUCAGCCCAGCCACAAAGAGAGAGACGUUUGUUGGGUUAUUCUUGUCACCUACAUCAACUUGAGGGUCUUGCCGACAGUGCUGGUGUGAGCUCCCCAGCACUGUGCGAUUAACCCUUACAAU
Molecule: non-coding RNA, 132 nt
Organism: Aplysia californica (California sea hare)
Lineage: Eukaryota; Metazoa; Mollusca; Gastropoda; Aplysiida; Aplysiidae
Source: RefSeq, a predicted model, not a curated record